This 218-nucleotide unclassified non-coding RNA is filed under the name Bombus terrestris (buff-tailed bumblebee). RNAcentral's name for it is "misc RNA ENSBTSG00005024905.1". Lineage: Eukaryota; Metazoa; Arthropoda; Insecta; Hymenoptera; Apidae. The record is from RNAcentral.
ACAAAUGGAAAUAUUGUUAAAUAAAUCUUGAGCAGCAAAUAAGAUCAAGGCAAGGAGAAAGCCAAUUCCGAAUCCAAUUAGAAACACAGGCCACAGUUUAAGACGCUAUGAUCUAAUAACAUUAAUUGACUCUCGUUGAACUCGUAAAUGGUUGAUUGCAUUAGAUCAUUCCAAUCAUGAAUUCUGCAUCUUAUAAAUCAUAUUUGUGUCUAAAGGAU